AUUGCCAGCGAGCAUCAGAGGAGAGGGGAUCUAAAGGAAGUCCUGUGUUUGUGUGAAAGAGAGAGAGAGAAAUAGAGGGAGAGAAAUAGAGGGAGAGAAAUAGAGGGAGAGAAAUAGAGAGAGAGAAAAUAGAAGGAGAGAAAUAGAGAGAGAGAAAUAGAGAGAGAGAAAUAGAGAGAGAGAAAAUAGAAGGAGAGAAAUAGAGAGAGAGAAAUAGAGAGAGAGAAAUAGAGAGAGAGAAAAUAGAAGGAGAGAAAUAGAGAGAGAGAAAUAGAGAGAGCAAGAGAGAGAGAGAAAAUAGAGAGAGAGGUUAGAGACAGAGAGAGAGGGGAAGGAAACCCCACAUAAAGAGACAGAAGAGAGCCCUUCCUGGAACUCUCCAGUCCUCUCUGACUGCCGCCGCUCACUGAGGGAGAAAGACAGCAGUGUUUUAAAGAGGAACAGAGUACCUGGUUGUCAUUCUGCUGAGGGCUGAGACAAACAGAGGAGAAGAAGACAUGUCGGGUCAUUUACUAAGGAGAAACUCCAGCAAGGAAGGUCUGCAGAACCUGCUCAGGUACGAGACGUGGAGCUUUGAUACUCCUUCUGCCAGGUGUUGGUGUGUGUUAGUCCUUCUGCCAGGUGUUGGUGUGUGUUAGUCCUUCUGCCAGGUGUUGGUGUGUGUUAGUCCUUCUGCCAGGUGUUGGUGUGUGUUAGUCCUUCUGCCAGGUGUUGGUGUGUGUUAGUCCUUCUGCCAGGUGUUGGUGUGUGUUAGUCCUUCUGCCAGGUGUUGGUGUGUGUUAGUCCUUCUGCCAGGUGUUGGUGUGUGUUAGUCCUUCUGCCAGGUGUUGGUGUGUGUUAGUCCUUCUGCCAGGUGUCGGUGUGUGUUAGUUGGUGUUUCUGCCAGGUGUUGGUGUGUGUGUUAGUUGGUCCUUCUGCCAGGUGUUGGUGUGUGUUACUGGGAGGUGAAACCUUCAUAUGUGAUGUCUGUUACUGGGAGGUGAAACCUUCAUAUCACCACCCUCUGUAUCUCCAUUCUGUGGUUCUGUGGAAAGUGGUUCAACGUUGAUAUGGUAGAAAAAGUAGCACAUUCCUACUGCUCACUAAUGU
Long non-coding RNA from Oncorhynchus keta (chum salmon), 1089 nucleotides. RefSeq lists it as uncharacterized. Lineage: Eukaryota; Metazoa; Chordata; Actinopteri; Salmoniformes; Salmonidae. The transcript has 3 exons. The record is from RefSeq and is a predicted model, not a curated record.